GUGCUCGCUUCGCAGCACAUACACUAAACAUUGGAACAGUACAGAGAUUGGCAUGGCCCCUGUGCAAGGAUGACACGCAACUUCGUGAACUGCUCUAUAUUUCG
Small nuclear RNA from Myotis daubentonii (Daubenton's bat), 104 nucleotides. NCBI's taxonomy places the organism in Eukaryota, Metazoa, Chordata, Mammalia, Chiroptera, Vespertilionidae. The record is from RefSeq and is a predicted model, not a curated record.